AGCCUGAUGCAGCAACGCCGCGUGAGGGAUGACGGCCUUCGGGUUGUAAACCUCUUUUAGUAGGGAAGAAGCGAAAGUGACGGUACCUGCAGAAAAAGCACCGGCUAACUACGUGCCAGCAGCCGCGGUAAUACGUAGGGUGCAAGCGUUGUCCGGAAUUAUUGGGCGUAAAGAGCUCGUAGGCGGUUUGUCGCGUCUGCUGUGAAAUCCCGAGGCUCAACCUCGGGCUUGCAGUGGGUACGGGCAGACUAGAGUGCGGUAGGGGAGAUUGGAAUUCCUGGUGUAGCGGUGGAAUGCGCAGAUAUCAGGAGGAACACCGAUGGCGAAGGCAGAUCUCUGGGCCGUAACUGACGCUGAGGAGCGAAAGCAUGGGGAGCGAACAGGAUUAGAUACCCUGGUAGUCCAUGCCGUAAACGUUGGGCGCUAGAUGUAGGGACCUUUCCACGGUUUCUGUGUCGUAGCUAACGCAUUAAGCGCCCCGCCUGGGGAGUACGGCCGCAAGGCUAAAACUCAAAGGAAUUGACGGGGGCCCGCACAAGCGGCGGAGCAUGCGGAUUAAUUCGAUGCAACGCGAAGAACCUUACCAAGGCUUGACAUACACCGGAAACGGCCAGAGAUGGUCGCCCCCUUGUGGUC
This 636-nucleotide ribosomal RNA is filed under the name Curtobacterium sp. Ri1Ps_4623. RNAcentral describes it as "bacterial SSU rRNA". It matches the Rfam family "Bacterial small subunit ribosomal RNA", at positions 380 to 1027 of the family's 1533-position model. Lineage: Bacteria; Bacillati; Actinomycetota; Actinomycetes; Micrococcales; Microbacteriaceae. The record is from RNAcentral.